UCCCUGGUGGCUCAGAGGUUAAAGCAUCUGCCUGCAAUGCGGGAGACCUGGGUUCGAUCCCUGGGUUGGGAA
This is a transfer RNA of Ovis aries (sheep), 72 nucleotides long. It matches the Rfam family "tRNA". From Rfam's summary of the family: Transfer RNA (tRNA) molecules are approximately 80 nucleotides in length. Their secondary structure includes four short double-helical elements and three loops (D, anti-codon, and T loops). Further hydrogen bonds mediate the characteristic L-shaped molecular structure. tRNAs have two regions of fundamental functional importance: the anti-codon, which is responsible for specific mRNA codon recognition, and the 3' end, to which the tRNAs corresponding amino acid is attached (by aminoacyl-tRNA synthetases). tRNAs cope with the degeneracy of the genetic code in two manners: having more than one tRNA (with a specific anti-codon) for a particular amino acid; and 'wobble' base-pairing, i.e. permitting non-standard base-pairing at the 3rd anti-codon position. The record is from Rfam. NCBI's taxonomy places the organism in Eukaryota, Metazoa, Chordata, Mammalia, Artiodactyla, Bovidae.